This 464-nucleotide ribosomal RNA is filed under the name uncultured bacterium. RNAcentral describes it as "bacterial SSU rRNA". It matches the Rfam family "Bacterial small subunit ribosomal RNA", at positions 60 to 524 of the family's 1533-position model. The record is from RNAcentral.
AGUCGAACGGUAACAGGUUAAGCUGACGAGUGGCGAACGGGUGAGUAAUAUAUCGGAACGUGCCCAGUCGUGGGGGAUAACUGCUCGAAAGAGCAGCUAAUACCGCAUACGACCUGAGGGUGAAAGCGGGGGAUCGCAAGACCUCGCGCGAUUGGAGCGGCCGAUAUCAGAUUAGGUAGUUGGUGGGGUAAAAGCCUACCAAGCCAACGAUCUGUAGCUGGUCUGAGAGGACGACCAGCCACACUGGGACUGAGACACGGUCCGGACUCCUACGGGAGGCAGCAGUGGGGAAUUUUGGACAAUGGGCGCAAGCCUGAUCCAGCAAUGCCGCGUGCAGGAAGAAGGCCUUCGGGUUGUAAACUGCUUUUUGUCAGGGAAAGAAAUCUUCUGGGCUAAUACCCCGGGAGGAUGACGGUACCUGAAGAAUAAGCACCGGCUAACUACGUGCCAGCAGCCGCGGUAAU